ACUCUCGUGCUGUUGGAGUGAAGAAGACGCUGGUCUUUUAUAAAGGGCGAGCGCCAGUAGGUGAACGGACAGAUUGGGUGAUGCAUGAAUACACCAUGGAUGAAGAAGAGCUGAAGAGAUGCCAAAAUGCACAGGACUACUAUGCACUCUACAAGGUCUUCAAGAAGAGUGGGCCUGGCCCCAAGAAUGGUGAGCAAUAUGGUGCACCUUUUAGAGAAGAGGACUGGGUUGAUGAUGAGUGCCUAAAUGCCAAAGUCUCUGUUCAGCCGGAGAUCCCGAGACAUCAGGAGAGUUCUGCAAAGAACAUUAAUGUAGUUCCUGCUCCUGAUGACGCAAUUGAGGAAUUGCUGAAGCGUCCUUUUACUGUUGAUAACAAUUUUGCAUUGGAGCAGUUUGUUCAAGAGGAAGAUACUGAAAGUACCUUGCUAAAUCAGUCUUCGAGGGAAGUUGAUUUAUACAAUCAUUGUGCUGUCGCUGGGCCAAGCUGCCAGCAGUAUGAUGCGAGGGCAAGCUUUGACCUGACAGAGUCAGGCACAUCACCAUUACAUUUGUACGAGGCACCAGAGGUCUCAUCUGCUCCAGUGAAUCCUGUAAAUCCCCCAUAUGUGGUGGAAGAGGAUUUCUUGGAAGAUUUUUUGGAGAUGGAUGACCUCCUUGUUGCCAUCCAGGAUUUAGAGUCCGUGGGUGCCAAAUGGGAUUCGAACCCGCAACCUCAACCUUCUAAAGUUGCCCUCCUACCGUGGCACCACAAGCCUAAUUUGUUCUGUGGGUGACACGCUUUAUAUUUAUAUAAAUAUUAUAUAUAUAUAUACCUAUGUAUACAUAGAGUUUCCGUCGAAGUUCGGGGGGGCGUGGCACCCCCACAACCCUUCAUAGAUCCGCCACUGCAUGUAUAGCUUUUGCAUUCUAAAUUCCUCCUGUUUCUGUUUGUUUGAUAACCUUUUGCUCUAUUGACCUGCUUCCUGACUUGAGAUGUCAAAUUAUAUGUUAUUCUCUUCUAGUGUCUGAUGUUAAUUGGUGCUGAUUGAUAGUCAUACUUUGGGUUGAUAGACUUAUGACCAUGUUUGAAUUUUUUCUAUUCUUAACUGACUGUUUCUUUUACGAAUUGGAAUUGCAGAUUUAUCUAAUUCUUUUGCGAAUUUGAAUUGCAGAUUUGUCUAAGUUAAAAACUGGGGAUAGGCAGUGGUUCUUCUUUAGUCCCAGAGAUCGAAAAUAUCCCAAUGGAGCACGGUCAAACAGAGCAUCAAAGCACGGGUAUUGGAAAGCUACUGGAAAAGAUCGUAUUAUUACAUGCAACUCUCGUGCUGUUGGAGUGAAGAAGACGCUGGUCUUUUAUAAAGGGCGAGCGCCAGUAGGUGAACGGACAGAUUGGGUGAUGCAUGAAUACACCAUGGAUGAAGAAGAGCUGAAGAGAUGCCAAAAUGCACAGGACUACUAUGCACUCUACAAGGUCUUCAAGAAGAGUGGGCCUGGCCCCAAGAAUGGUGAGCAAUAUGGUGCACCUUUUAGAGAAGAGGACUGGGUUGAUGAUGAGUGCCUAAAUGCCAAAGUCUCUGUUCAGCCGGAGAUCCCGAGACAUCAGGAGAGUUCUGCAAAGAACAUUAAUGUAGUUCCUGCUCCUGAUGACGCAAUUGAGGAAUUGCUGAAGCG
Molecule: long non-coding RNA, 1650 nt
Filed under: Solanum tuberosum (potato)
Lineage: Eukaryota; Viridiplantae; Streptophyta; Magnoliopsida; Solanales; Solanaceae
Description: long non-coding RNA (STUB_LNC005105)
Source: RNAcentral